UGCAUCUGAAGCCUGACGAGGAUGAGAACCUCCGGGGGCAAGAGGUUCGACUCGAGCGCAGCGAGAGAACGUUGCGUCAGCAACGGCCCGCA
This 92-nucleotide small RNA is filed under the name Salmonella enterica subsp. enterica serovar Infantis. RNAcentral describes it as "partial RtT sRNA". It matches the Rfam family "RtT RNA", at positions 1 to 88 of the family's 130-position model. From Rfam's summary of the family: This family represents a bacterial cis-regulatory element known as RtT RNA. The exact function of RtT is unknown although it is thought that it may be involved in changing the cellular response in relation to amino acid starvation. RNAcentral also lists the same sequence under 3 other names. The record is from RNAcentral. Lineage: Bacteria; Pseudomonadati; Pseudomonadota; Gammaproteobacteria; Enterobacterales; Enterobacteriaceae.